Molecule: ribosomal RNA, 454 nt
Filed under: Loxoneptera hampsoni
Lineage: Eukaryota; Metazoa; Arthropoda; Insecta; Lepidoptera; Crambidae
Also listed under: 1 other name
Description: partial 16S ribosomal RNA
Source: RNAcentral
CUGAUUUAUAUUAAAGGGCUGCAGUAUUUUGACUGUACAAAGGUAGCAUAAUCAAUAGUCUUUUAAUUGAUGACUUGUAUGAAGGAUUGAAUGAGAUAUAAACUGUUUCUAAUUUAUGAAAAGAAUUUAAUUUUUUAAUCAAAAAGUUAAAAUAAAUUUAAAAGACAAGAAGACCCUAUAGAGUUUUAUAUUUAAGUUUAUUAAAAUUAUUUAUUAGUUUAAUAAUUGAAAUUAAUUUAUUUAUUUUAUUGGGGUGAUUGAAAAAUAUGUAUAACUUUUUUUAUAAUAUAUUCAUGUAUAAAUGAAUAAUUGAUCCAAAAUUUUUGAUUAAAAGAAAAAAUUACCUUAGGGAUAACAGCGUAAUUUUUUCUUUUAGUUCGUAUAAAAGAAAGAGUUUGCGACCUCGAUGUUGGAUUAAGAUAUAAUUUAUAUGCAAAAGUAUAAUAUUUUGAUC